ACAGCAGUCGCCACGGUAAUACGAAGGGGGCUAGCGUUGUUCGGAUUUACUGGGCGUAAAGCGCACGUAGGCGGAUCGAUCAGUCAGGGGUGAAAUCCCAGAGCUCAACUCUGGAACUGCCUUUGAUACUGUCGAUCUGGAGUAUGGAAGAGGUGAGUGGAAUUCCGAGUGUAGAGGUGAAAUUCGUAGAUAUUCGGAGGAACACCAGUGGCGAAGGCGGCUCACUGGUCCAUUACUGACGCUGAGGUGCGAAAGCGUGGGGAGCAAACAGGAUUAGAUACCCGCGUAGUCCCUGUCUCUUAUAC
This 305-nucleotide ribosomal RNA is filed under the name uncultured bacterium. RNAcentral describes it as "partial 16S ribosomal RNA". It matches the Rfam family "Bacterial small subunit ribosomal RNA", at positions 505 to 807 of the family's 1533-position model. The record is from RNAcentral.